AACGAACGCUGGCGGCAUGCCUAACACAUGCAAGUCGAACGAGACCUUCGGGUCUAGUGGCGCACGGGUGCGUAACGCGUGGGAACCUGCCCUUAGGUUCGGAAUAACUCCCCGAAGGGGGUGCUAAUACCGGAUAAUGUCUUCGGACCAAAGAUUUAUCGCCUUUGGAUGGGCCCGCGUUGGAUUAGCUAGUUGGUAGGGUAAAAGCCUACCAAGGCGACGAUCCAUAGCUGGUCUGAGAGGAUGAUCAGCCACACUGGGACUGAGACACGGCCCAGACUCCUACGGGAGGCAGCAGUGGGGAAUAUUGGACCAUGGGCGAAAGCCUGAUCCAGCAAUGCCGCGUGAGUGAUGAAGGCCUUAGGGUUGUAAAGCUCUUUUACCCGGGAUGAUAAUGACAGUACCGGGAGAAUAAGCUCCGGCUAACUCCGCG
RNAcentral lists this ribosomal RNA (433 nucleotides) under uncultured bacterium. RNAcentral describes it as "partial 16S ribosomal RNA". It matches the Rfam family "Bacterial small subunit ribosomal RNA", at positions 29 to 507 of the family's 1533-position model. The record is from RNAcentral.